Molecule: non-coding RNA, 103 nt
Organism: Acanthosepion pharaonis
Lineage: Eukaryota; Metazoa; Mollusca; Cephalopoda; Sepiida; Sepiidae
Source: the annotation of a GenBank genome assembly
ACCACGUCGAAAAACCGGUUCCCGUACGAUCACCGAAGUUAAGCAACGUCGAGCCUUGUCAGUACCUAGAUGAGUUACUGCUUGGAAAUACCUGGUGCUGUAA